RNAcentral lists this ribosomal RNA (864 nucleotides) under Triticum aestivum (bread wheat). RNAcentral's name for it is "partial small subunit ribosomal RNA". Lineage: Eukaryota; Viridiplantae; Streptophyta; Magnoliopsida; Poales; Poaceae. The record is from RNAcentral.
AUGGGCAAUCUGUGCUGCUGUGUUCAAGUUGACCAGUCUACCGUGGCCAUCAGGGAGCAGUUUGGGAAGUUUGACAGUGUGCUUGAGCCAGGAUGCCACUGCCUGCCUUGGAUCUUUGGGAAGCGUGUAGUUGGCCAUCUCACACUGAGGUUGCAGCAGCUGGAUGUGCGGUGUGAAACUAAGACAAAGGACAAUGUGUUUGUCACUGUUGUUGCAUCGAUUCAGUACCGACCUCUGGCUGGCAAAGAAAGUGAUGCAUACUACAAACUAACCAACACAAGAUCCCAGAUUCAAGCCUAUGUCUUUGAUGUGAUCAGGGCAAGUGUUCCAAAGCUCAACCUGGAUGAUGCUUUCGUGCAGAAGAACGAUAUAGCAAUGGCUGUGGAGGAUGAACUUGAAAAGGCUAUGUCGGCAUAUGGCUUUGAGAUCGUGCAGACCCUCAUUGUCGACAUCGAGCCAGAUGCGCAUGUCAAGCAGGCGAUGAAUGAGAUCAAUGCAGCUGCAAGGAUGAGGGUGGCUGCAAACGAGAAGGCGGAGGCUGAGAAGAUUGUCCAGAUCAAGCGUGCCGAGGGUGAAGCAGAGGCCAAGUACCUGUCUGGCCUCGGUAUCGCCCGCCAGCGCCAGGCCAUUGUGGAUGGCCUGAGGGACAGCGUCCUGGGCUUCUCAGUCAAUGUGCCUGGCACCACUGCAAAGGACGUGAUGGACAUGGUGCUGAUCACCCAGUACUUUGAUACUAUGAAAGAGGUCGGCGCGUCCUCCAAGUCCUCGGCGGUGUUCAUCCCCCAUGGCCCUGGUGCGGUGCGUGACAUCGCCACGCAGAUCCGCGACGGUCUUCUUCAGGGCCAGUCUGCCUCUGACAACUAA